Molecule: non-coding RNA, 48 nt
Filed under: Schistosoma haematobium
Lineage: Eukaryota; Metazoa; Platyhelminthes; Trematoda; Strigeidida; Schistosomatidae
Source: RNAcentral
AUCUAGUUGAUGAGUCCCAAAUAGGACGAAACGCCCGUCAAACUGGAU